UCCUGGCUCAGGAUGAACGCUAGCGGGAGGCUAACACAUGCAAGUCGAGGGGCAGCACGAGGUAGCAAUACUUGGUGGCGACCGGCGCACGGGUGAGUAACACGUAUGCAACCUACCCUGUACUGGGGGAUAGCCCGGAGAAAUUCGGAUUAAUACCCAUGAUUAUAUCGAGAGGCAUCUUUUGAUAUUUAAAGUUCGACGGUACGGGAUGGGCAUGCGCAACAUUAGCUAGUUGGUAGGGUAACGGCCUACCAAGGCUACGAUGUUUAGGGACCUGAGAGGGUGAUCCCCCACACUGGUACUGAGACACGGACCAGACUCCUACGGGAGGCAGCAGUGAGGAAUAUUGGUCAAUGGGGCGUAAGCCUGAACCAGCCAUCCCGCGUAGAAGGAAGAAGGCGCUAUGCGUUGUAAACUUCUUUUCCAGAGGAAGAAAACCCCUGACGUGUCAGGGCUUGCCGGUACUCUGGGAAUAAGCAUCGGCUAACUCCGUGCCAGCAGCCGC
This 505-nucleotide ribosomal RNA is filed under the name uncultured bacterium. RNAcentral's name for it is "bacterial SSU rRNA". It matches the Rfam family "Bacterial small subunit ribosomal RNA", at positions 17 to 518 of the family's 1533-position model. The record is from RNAcentral.